Molecule: ribosomal RNA, 363 nt
Filed under: Orthopsyche thomasi
Lineage: Eukaryota; Metazoa; Arthropoda; Insecta; Trichoptera; Hydropsychidae
Description: eukaryotic LSU rRNA
Rfam family: Eukaryotic large subunit ribosomal RNA
Source: RNAcentral
UACCYGUCUUGAAACACGGACCAAGGAGUCUAGCAUGCGCGCGAGUCAUUGGGAACUGAUAAACCCAGAGGCGAAAUGAAAGUGAACAGCGCCAUUUCGGUGGCCGCAGGGAAGAUGGCGGCCGGUAAGCCCGUCCGCCCGCAUUCCCGAGGCGUUUCGAGAAAUGCCUCCGUUGCGAUUAUCGAGACGCACUGAGAGCGCGCACGCUGGGACCCGAAAGAUGGUGAACUAUGCCUGGUCAGGUCGAAGUCAGGGGAAACCCUGAUGGAGGACCGUAGCGAUUCUGACGUGCAAAUCGAUCGUCUGAACUGGGUAUAGGGGCGAAAGACUAAUCGAACUAUCUAAUAGCUGGUCUCAAGUUUC